AUUGAACGCUGGCGGCAGGCCUAACACAUGCAAGUCGAACGGUAACAGGAAGCAGCUUGCUGCUUCGCUGACGAGUGGCGGACGGGUGAGUAAUGUCUGGGAAGCUGCCUGAUGGAGGGGGAUAACUACUGGAAACGGUAGCUAAUACCGCAUAAUGUCGCAAGACCAAAGAGGGGGACCUUCGGGCCUCUUGCCUUCGGAUGUGCCCAGAUGGGAUUAGCUUGUUGGUGGGGUAACGGCUCACCAAGGCGACGAUCCCUAGCUGGUCUGAGAGGAUGACCAGCCACACUGGAACUGAGACACGGUCCAGACUCCUACGGGAGGCAGCAGUGGGGAAUAUUGCACAAUGGGCGCAAGCCUGAUGCAGCCAUGCCGCGUGUAUGAAGAAGGCCUUCGGGUUGUAAAGUACUUUCAGCGGGGAGGAAGGGAGUAAAGUUAAUACCUUUGCUCAUUGACGUUACCCGCAGAAGAAGCACCGGCUAACUCCGUG
Molecule: ribosomal RNA, 490 nt
Filed under: uncultured bacterium
Lineage: Bacteria
Description: partial 16S ribosomal RNA
Rfam family: Bacterial small subunit ribosomal RNA
Source: RNAcentral